UGGGGAAUUUUGGACAAUGGGCGCAAGCCUGAUCCAGCCAUGCCGCGUGCAGGAUGAAGGCCUUCGGGUUGUAAACUGCUUUUGUACGGAACGAAAAGGUGCCUUCUAAUAAAGGGCGCUCAUGACGGUACCGUAAGAAUAAGCACCGGCUAACUACGUGCCAGCAGCCGCGGUAAUACGUAGGGUGCGAGCGUUAAUCGGAAUUACUGGGCGUAAAGCGUGCGCAGGCGGUUUUGUAAGACAGAGGUGAAAUCCCCGGGCUCAACCUGGGAACUGCCUUUGUGACUGCAAGGCUGGAGUGCGGCAGAGGCGGAUGGAAUUCCGCGUGUAGCAGUGAAAUGCGUAGAUAUGCGGAGGAACACCGAUGGCGAAGGCAAUCCCCUGGGCCUGCACCGACGCUCAUGCACGAAAGCGUGGGGAGCAGAC
RNAcentral lists this ribosomal RNA (426 nucleotides) under uncultured bacterium. Its description in RNAcentral is "bacterial SSU rRNA". It matches the Rfam family "Bacterial small subunit ribosomal RNA", at positions 355 to 773 of the family's 1533-position model. The record is from RNAcentral.